GGAGGGUGCAAGCGUUGUUCGGAAUUAUUGGGCGUAAAGAGCGUGCAGGCGGUUCGGUAAGUCAGAUGUGAAAGCCCUGGGCUCAACCCAGGAAGUGCAUUUGAAACUACCAGACUUGAGUACGGGAGAGGAGGGGGGAAUUCCCGGUGUAGAGGUGAAAUUCGUAGAUAUCGGGAGGAAUACCAGUGGCGAAGGCGCCCCUCUGGACCGAUACUGACGCUGAGACGCGAAAGCGUGGGGAGCAAACAGGAUUAGAUACCCUGGUAGUCCACGCCGUAAACGAUGAGCACUAGGUGUAGCGGGUAUUGACCCCCUGCUGUGCCGUAGCUAACGCAUUAAGUGCUCCGCCUGGGGACUACGGUCGCAAGACUA
Molecule: ribosomal RNA, 372 nt
Filed under: uncultured organism
Description: partial 16S ribosomal RNA
Rfam family: Bacterial small subunit ribosomal RNA
Source: RNAcentral